GAUGAACGCUAGCGGGAGGCUUAACACAUGCAAGUCGAGGGGUAAAUGGUAGCAAUACUAUGAGACCGGCGGACGGGUGCGUAACGCGUAUGCAACAUACCUUGUGCAGGGGGAUAGCCCGUGGAAACGCGGAUUAAUAUUCCAUAGUCCAGCUAUAUCGCAUGGUAUAGUUGGUAAAGAUUUAUCGGCACAAGUUUGGCAUGCGUCUGAUUAGCUUGUUGGUAGGGUAACGGCCUACCAAGGCUACGAUCAGUAGGGGUUCUGAGAGGAUUAACCCCCACACUGGUACUGAGACACGGACCAGACUCCUACGGGAGGCAGCAGUGAGGAAUAUUGGUCAAUGGGCGCAAGCCUGAACCAGCCAUCCCGCGUGCAGGAAGACGGCCCUAUGGGUUGUAAACUGCUUUUCCAGGGAGAGAAACUUACGCACGUGUUGCGUGACUGACGGUACCCUGGGAAUAAGCAUCGGCUAACUCCGUG
This 480-nucleotide ribosomal RNA is filed under the name uncultured bacterium. RNAcentral's name for it is "bacterial SSU rRNA". It matches the Rfam family "Bacterial small subunit ribosomal RNA", at positions 28 to 507 of the family's 1533-position model. The record is from RNAcentral.